RNAcentral lists this ribosomal RNA (253 nucleotides) under uncultured bacterium. Its description in RNAcentral is "partial 16S ribosomal RNA". It matches the Rfam family "Bacterial small subunit ribosomal RNA", at positions 524 to 776 of the family's 1533-position model. The record is from RNAcentral.
UACGGAGGGAGCUAGCGUUGUUCGGAAUUACUGGGCGUAAAGAGCGCGUAGGCGGUUUAUCAAGUUGGAAGUGAAAGCCCGAGGCUUAACCUCGGAAUUGCUUUCAAGACUGAUAGACUAGAGAAUGGUAGAGGAUGGUGGAAUUCCUAGUGUAGAGGUGAAAUGCGCAGAUAUCGGGAAGAACACCCGUGGCGAAGGCGGCUCUCUGGGACGGUACUGACGCUGAGACGCGAAAGCGUGGGGAGCGAACAGG